GGGUUCAGAGAACCAGGGGGCAGCCUCCUUGGAGAGUCUCAUCAAAGCAGUUACAUCAUAGCAAAUGCUCCUAUCAGGGUACAGGGAGUACAGGACUGUAGACCGCUCAACCCAAGGGACCCCACCCUUAGCUGGGACAGGUCCUAGGAAGUUGCCAUGGGCCCCAGGCUCCUCUGCUGUGUGGCCCUUUGUCUCUUGGAAGCAGGUCCAGCAGACUCUGGGGUUAUGCAGACCCCAAAACACCUGGUCAAAGCAAGAAAACAGCAAGUGACACUGAAGUGUUCCUAUAUCUCUGGAGACCUCUCUGUGUAUUGGUACAAACAGCCCCAGGGUCAGGGCCCCGAUUUCCUCGUUCAGUACUAUAAUGGGCAAGAGCGAAGUAAAGGGAACAUGCCUGAUCGGUUCUCAGUGAAGCAGUUCAGUGACUCCCGCUCUGAACUGAAUGCCAGCUCCCUGGAGCUGAGCGACUCAGCCCUGUACCUCUGUGCCAGCAGCCUUGACACAGCCCUGCAGGAGUGGCAGCUGCCUGCACAAAAACACUCUGCCCCACUCAGGAAGUGA
Artibeus jamaicensis (Jamaican fruit-eating bat) is the source of this 561-nucleotide non-coding RNA. The record is from the annotation of a RefSeq genome assembly. NCBI's taxonomy places the organism in Eukaryota, Metazoa, Chordata, Mammalia, Chiroptera, Phyllostomidae.